RNAcentral lists this transfer RNA (85 nucleotides) under Felis catus (domestic cat). It matches the Rfam family "tRNA". From Rfam's summary of the family: Transfer RNA (tRNA) molecules are approximately 80 nucleotides in length. The record is from Rfam by way of RNAcentral. RNAcentral also lists the same sequence under 4 other names. Lineage: Eukaryota; Metazoa; Chordata; Mammalia; Carnivora; Felidae.
ACCUGGGUGGCUCAGUCAGUUGAGCCUCUGACUUCAACUCAGGUCAUGAUCUCAUGGUUUGUGAGUUCAAGUCCCGCAUCAGGCU